RNAcentral lists this long non-coding RNA (8026 nucleotides) under Triticum aestivum (bread wheat). RNAcentral describes it as "long non-coding RNA (TAES_LNC008245)". The record is from RNAcentral. Lineage: Eukaryota; Viridiplantae; Streptophyta; Magnoliopsida; Poales; Poaceae.
UUUUUUCUUUUAUAGGUAAUGGUCUAUGACAGCAUUGAUAGCCACACAUCCUAUAGUAACAAAAGUUUGGAUCCACUCAUGCCAUCUAUUGGAGAAACCUUUCAUUCUCAGAGCAUGUUGGGGAAACGACCAUUUUACUUUAUCAUAAGCCUUUUCAAAGUCAAUUUUGAAACUCUAAUCAUAUUUUUACGGUGCAUUGCGUGGAUGGUCUCAUGAAGGAUUACUACUCAUCUAGUAUAUUUCUUCCUUGCAUGAAAAUCGUUUAAGAUGGUCAAACAACAUGGUCAACAAUGGCAUUGAGCCUAUUAGUAGUCACUUUGAUGAAUAUUUUGAAACUAACAUUAAAGAGGUAUAUGGGUUUGUAUUUCUUGAUCCACUCAGUAUCCUUGGUCUUUGGCAACAAAACAAUUUCACCGAAAGUGAGCCUGGAUAGGUCAAGUUGGCCAGUAUGAAAAGAAUAGAAUGGCUCCAUUAGGUCAGUCUUGAUGGCAUCCCAGAAGUUCUAGUAGAACUCUGCUCGGAUGCCAUAGGACUUGGAGCCUUGUCAUAUUCCAUCUGGAAUGCCACAUCUCCCACCUCCUCUUUUGGUAAAGGUGUCGUAAGGAUAUUGUUCUCGUCUAUUGUCACUUAUCAAAUGUCAUAUGUUUGAUUCUCAUUGAAGGUGAAGUCUACUUCCAUUGGAACCUCGACUGGAGGUACUUGGUUAUGAAACGCUUGAGAUCUGCCUAGCCCUCGACCCGUCCAUCACUCUAUUGGAGGCUAAAAAUACACUUCUUCAUGUGCCACCCAUUGGCAACCACGUGGAAAUUUAUGUAUUGUUGUCUCCCUCCAAAAUGAAUUGGGCUUUGGAUCUUUUGUGAUUUUAUAUGUGAGAUCAUCAAUAAUCAUGGAAAGGUGCUGCUUUUAUUUUUUUUAUAUAAAUACCACUGGCGUAUUUCGUCCAUUCCGAUAGAAGAGGAAAUUAAUAAGCUUCUGAGGUUGAUUAGUGGAGCAGAGAUCUUUCCACUCGUGAAAUUGCAUAGGUCUAACCAAUUGGCCACAAGUUAGAACAUGCAUUGAUCGAUGGAUCGAUCAUUAUACUUUAAUUGGAUGUAGCUGGAAUUUCCUCGGACGCAUGGCCGCAUGGGAACAUGAAUAUACUCUAGGUCAGGUAUCGGAUCGUCGACAUGCAUCUUUCUUAUUGAGAUCAAGUUGAGAGAGCAGGUAGGUCCCUGAAAUGGACAUGCAGGACUUGAUAUGUCCUUUGUUGAACUUGCCUUAUUAAAUAGCCGAGGUAGUGGCUCAUUUUUCGAGGGAGCUGGUCAAGCAAGCAGAAGGACUAUAGUGGAACUUUAGACUAGCCACAAUGGGAGUAACUUCAGCAGUAACAUCGAGCCCAACUCAACAAAUUUGCUUAUGUGGCAAUGAGUUAAUGAGGAGAGAGGUAGUUUCAGCAACUUAGCUAGUUACUGUAAUAUCACAUGUCCCAAUGCAAUAUGAGUCUAUAACCUAAUAAAUAAAGCUUUGCAUGACAUCACACUUAUGUUACUACCCACUAUGAAGGUAGUAACGUACUCUAGGGAUAUGCGUAUGUUACUAGUGUAUGUUACAAUCCACUGUGGCUAGUCUUUGCGUAGAUGGUAGUGUUUGCACUCGAAGCAACUUAGGCUAGGUAAACCAAUGGUCAAUGCAAUGCUACGUCUACGUAGGAAGUUACAAAACUUUUACGUAAUAAGCCAGUUGGCAGAAUGUGAUUGGGAUUAGAGGAGAGGAGGGGCCCACCCCACUGAAAAUCAGGGGGCAGAGAAUUAGUUAAGGGAAGUUAUGUAGCCCCUUCGUAACCCCUCUGGAGGUCUAGGAUUUAUUGCGUGCAUACAUAUGUUACAAUUGCAAUGGAGUAAAUGGACAUAUUAUACUACUCAAUUAGGGCACCUCUAAGGCGGACAAACAAACCUCCCAUAACCGUCCGGACACACUUGUCCGGACCUCGUAAGCCAUCCAAUGGCGAUCUCCAUCGGUCCGCGGAAUGAUCCGAAGCGCAAUUUUUUCACAAACCGGAACUAAACGAGGGGGGCUUUGCAGAAGUCCGGACACAAGCCACAUAGGACUCCGAAACCAUGGCCCACCAAAAACUGAGGCGGAGCCCGUGAUUUGUAGCUGGCCGCACUCUUUCAAUGGUAAAAUGCCCCCACUUUCCUCUUCCAUCCAGCCGCUCUCCCCCUAAUUUUGUUCUUUCUUUCCAUCACCGAUGCAUGCAUGGACCCGAGGGAGAAGUUGCCAGAGACGGCGGUGGUGAAGGAUCCAGCGAUCACACUCGCCGGAAUGAUCAACUUGGAGACACGGCAAAAUCGUUGCCUCAAAGCAAAGGCAAAGGUGGUGCCGCUCAAGAAGCAGAAGGUCGGCUGAGGCCGAGAUGGAGGGCAGAGCCUAAGACGUGGGGGCCGCUGCCGUUGCCGGCCGUGCAGACACCGCCAUGGCCGGAGCAUUACAAGGCUUUGUACUACUACACCUCCAAGCAGCUUGGUAGGUAGUCACCGGCAUCCGCCGCCAGGCAAGUGCCCUUCGUCGAUGUCGUCAAUGCGAUGUCGCAGCUUGUCUCAGAGUGUUCAUCAUCGCAGCUAGUCCGGGUGCAGACGUCGGGCAUGGAGCAGCUGGGUGUCUGCAUGUUGUUCACUUAUAUGCCUAAAGCGGGCGAGCCGGUAUAUGACGAAGCAUACAGGAGGAUGUUUGACAUCAUCCAUGAUAGAGGUAGGGAAGAAGGUUUCUACUAGGAUGGGCAUGUGGAUGACUAGGAGCCCGCCCAGACCGGCUCAUACACCCAGCUGGGCUCGUAGCAGGGCUACACCUAGUCCGGCAUGUACACCCAGCAGGGCACGCAACCGGGAUACACCCAGUUCGGCACGUACACCCAGCCGGGAACAGACACACAACAACAUGAUUGGGCCGCCGAACAAUAGGAGUAGGAGGAGAAUGGAUACGACGAUGAUCCCGAUGAAUUUGUUGCCGAUCCAAAAAGAGGGGUAGAGAAGAAAGCUUCAACAUACGAGAGGACGAGUUGUUGUGUAAUGCAUGAUUGGGCACGGAGCAAAAUGGCACAAUAGUUUGGGCCAACAUUCACUCUUGGUUCCAUGAACACAAGCAUUUCCAUCCCUACGCCGAUGCGCUCAUCCGCAACCGUGGCGCAAAGUCUCUCAACCAUCAUGUUGGGGAACGUUGCAUGAAAACAAAAAAAUUCCUACGCCCAUGCAAGAUCUAUCAAGGAGAUGCAUAGCAACGAGAGGGGAGAGUGUGUCUACGUACCCUCGUAGACCAUAAGCGGAAGCUUUUAGUAAUGCAGUUGAUGUAGUCGAACUUCUUCGCGCACCAACCGACCAAGUACCGAACGUACGGCACCUUCGAGUUCUGCACACGUUCAACUCGGUGACAUCCUCGCCUUCUUGAUCCAGCGAGAUGGGCGAAGUAGUAGAUGAGUUCCAGCAGCAUGACGGCAUGGUGGCGGUGAUGGUGAAGUUAUCUCUGCAGGGCUUCGCCUAAGCACUACGAAAAUAUGACCGAUGGACAAACUAGAGGGAGAGGGGCACCGCACACUGCUAGGGAAUCGUGGUGUGUGUUUCCCCUCUCCUUCCUCUCAUAUAUAUAGGUGGAGGGGGAGAGAAGGCAGCCCCUAGGGCGCCCCAAGUGGCUGGCGGCUUCCCUAGAGCGCCUGUUCUGGCCGAAUCCCCCUUUUUCAUAUUUGUGUAUGGGGGAAGGAAAGGGGGGUUGGCUGCCUUUGGGGCGCCUUCCCCUUCCUUCCCUCCCUUUUUGGUACGUGGGAAAGGGGUAGAAGGGGCGCACCAGCCCCUUGUGGGCUGGUGUGCUUCUCCCCCUUUGGCCCAUAAGGCCCAUACACUUGUCGGGGAUGUUCGGAACCCCUUCCGGUGCCCCGAUGACUACCCGGUGCACUCUAAAACUCUUCCGGUGGUCGAACACCAUUUUCCUAUAUAUCAAUCUUUACCUCUCGACCAUUUCGAGACUCCUCGUCAUGUCCGUGAUCUCAUCUGGGACUCCGACAACAUUCGGUCACCAAAUCAUAUAACUCAUAUAACACUAUAUCAGCAACGAACGUUAAGCGUGCGGAGCGUACGGGUUCGAGAACUAUGUAUACAUGACCGAGACACCUCUCCAGUCAAUAAAAAAAUGCAAAACCUGGAUGCCCAUAUUGGUUCCUACAUAUUCUACGAAGAUCUUUAUCGGUCGAACCGUUAUGCCAACAUACGUAAUUCCCUUUGUCCAUCGGUAUGUUACUUGCCCGAGAUUCGAUCGUCGGUAUCUCUAUACCUAGUUCAAUCUCGUUACCGGCAAGUCGUUUUACUCAUUCCAUAAUACAUCACCCCGUAACUAACUCCUUAGUCAUUUGCUUGCAAUCUUAUGAUGUGUAUUACCGAGAGAGCACAGAGAUACCUCUCCGAAACCGGAGUGACAAAUCCUAAUCUUGAUCUAUGCCAACUCAACAUACACCUUCGGAGAUACCUGUAGAGCAUCUUUAUGAUCACCCAGUUACGUUGUGACGUUUGAUAGCACACAAGAUAUUCAUCCGGUAUCCGGGAGUUGCAUAAUCUCAUAGUCGAAGGAAUAUGUAUUUGACAUGAAGGAAGCAAUAGCAAUAAACUGAACGAUCAUUAUGCUAAGCUAACGGGUGGGUCUUGUCCAUCACAUCAUUCUCCUAAUGAUGUGAUACCAUUAUCAAAUGACAACACAUGUCUAUGGUUAGGAAACCUUAAUCAUCUUUGAUCGACGAGCUAGUCUAGUAGAGGCAUACUAGGGACACAGUAUUUAUGUAUUCAUACAUGUAUUUAAGUUUCUGAUCAAUACAAUUCUAGCAUGAAUAAUAAACCUUUAUCAUGAAUAAGGAAAUAUAAAAUAACUACUUUAUUAUUGCCUUUAGGGCAUAUUUCCUUCACAUCGAUGGUACAUCAUCUAAGAGGCCGUGUAGAAGUAUUGAGCCACUUGAGGCAACUAUCGCACGGCAGCCAAGUAGUGCGCAAAUCGUCAAGUGAGUAAGUUCAUCAUUUGGCCGGAAAUGCAUUGUUCUGUAGACCACUUGGGCAGAUAUGCAUUGUUUUAAAGAUCAAUUGGCCGGAUAGCAUUGUUUUAUGGAUCAUUUGGUCGGAUAUGCAUUGUUUUGUAGAUCAUUUGGCCGGAUAUGCAUUGUUAACAAUGUUUUAUUUUAUAGCCUUCCCAUGCGUGUAGUGUGCUCUUGAAGUUGGAGAAGAAAAACUUCACCAUCAUGCAUUGUUGAUUGAAAUUGAAUGGACAACCCAAGUGAAAUCUAUACAUUACCAAGACCAUCGCCCAUGGCACCGAGGAAGAAACCGGUGCUCCAACCGACCCAACAAAAGAACCGCCCAAGAAGUUUAGAAGAGGGUUUCAUCGAAAGAAGUGGGAGAGGGAAAGGGCGAAGCAAGAGGGGCGGCGCCCAAGAAGUUUAGAAAAGGGUUUCAUCGAAAGAAGUGGGAGAGGGAGAGGGCGAAGCAAGAGGGAUGGCGCCCAAGAAGUUUAGAAGAGGGUUUCAUCGAAAGAAGUGGGAGAGGGAGAGGGCGAAGCAAGAGGGGAGGCGCCCAAGAUGAUGGAGAGGUUCAAGGACAUCUUGUCGAAGGAGGAGGCAUACGUCAAGCGCUCUGACGUCAAGGAGGAAAAAAGGCGGAGAGGUUUAACAUGUUGCUGGCAGCGACCAACAAGAAGCUCAAGGUCGAAGAGAAGAAGAUCAUGCUCAAAGAGAGAAAGGUUGAGAUUGCAGCCGCUUCAGAGGAUACGAAGAUGUUGACCUUGAAGAUGGGGGAUUUAGAUGACGACGCAAGGAUGAUCGUGCAAGCCGUCCUUUCAAUAUGUUGAAGCGACGGAAGGAAGAGUUGGAGGCGCCAGAAAAGGAGGUGGCCGAGACGGCGGAGGAGGCAGAGGCAGCGGCGGACUGAGUGUGGAGGCUCAGAUUGCAUGUCCAGCAGAGGAGAAGAUUCAUAUUUUUUUUGCAUGAAUUGUCGGACUGAUAUUUUUUUUGGUUGUGCGCAGGGUUGAUUUGACCAGGUGUGCGCUAUAUGAUCAGACAGAUUUGAAUUUGAAAUUAAUCAUACUGGCGGACAUUUGGGAGAAUAGCGUUAGAUGGUUGGCUCCCGUAUCAUAGACUGGUCUCCUCUGUCCACGGUUCACGGACGAUGCGAUUUGGAGGUCGGGUUGGAGAUGCCCUUAGUACUACUAGUACUAGUUGAUAGACUCUGGUACUCUAUAUUUGUGCGUUCGAUUGCAAGGUUCAGGCAUGCCUGCCUGACUGAAUGUGUCGCCAUCACGUUUAUUUACGUCCCCGGUCACACUCAGGUUAGCUGAUCGAGUUAGCAAUGGUGAACACGUGCGUACGUAUGUGUAUGUUGCGACAGCCUGCUGAGCGAAUCGUGGGCCAACACGUACGUAGGUAGGCUCAUGGCGACCGUAUGUUUGUACGUAGUACCAUGGAGAGUCGGUGGUCUGCAUCACCGGCCAAUAAGUAGAUGAUUCGUCAACGUGAAGCAGGACAUUCGUAAAGAAUACACAAUGCAGAAUAAGGGAAAGAAGGGUGGCCCAGACAACACCCACUGCACAAUAGAAUAGAAUAGAAUAGAAUAGAAUACAGUAGAGGCUGAUCGACCAAUGGCGGAGCGACACGUGCGUGCGCACACUGUGAUAAUGAUCAUUGUGUCCGGGUAUUGAGUUAUGCACAAAGAAAGUAAAUGAAGACGGAGGGACAGGAAACCGACAUCUUCCUCCACGGCCACAUUUCCGGAGACUGCAGACCGACAGCAGCAACUCGCUACGAGUGUAUACAUCCGGCUGGCAACUAGCAAACCUACUUAGCUAUCGCUACGCUUAGAUUUACUCUACUGAUGCUGAAUGUACGCAAAGUUCGGACUCUUAAUACUUCAUUUUGAGCUAACAAAUCUCAGGCCCGGGGUUACAGGAGCUAGCACUGUGCACUGAUCCAGUGAACACACACUAGAAAGAUGGAGAGAUGGUAUUGCGACGUGGCCUCUUGUCCAGCAACGGCCGUAACAAAGCCGCUCACUGCAACUGCACCGCUGCUUUAUGGUUUCCCAACGCAGAUGAUAGAUAGAUAUAUGUGUGGGGUGCUUUGAGACCAGUAGACUAGUCUGCAUAAAGAAGAACAAACGGAGGAAAGAGAGAUACCUGCUUUGCUCGUCAAAGCUCAGUCUUGGACCGAGACCGUCCGUCCAUCAUCAGUACUAGUAGAGCACCACCACCACGGGUAGAAUAUGCUGCUGCUUUUCAACAUUCGCAUGUAUAACAAAAACUGACUACCACAUCAAGAAUGGUUCCAACUUACACGAUAAAUUCUUAUUUACUUACACAAACAUUGAUUGAAGAAGUAUAUGACAAUAUAUAUACAUAUUGGACACACAUGCACCACCAACUGAUAUAUCAAAAGGUAGGCAAGGCUAAGCACAUCCACUCAUCAAGAGAGGAGCUCCUUCCUAACUCCAUAAUUUAUUAACUCGAAAAAAAAAAACUCGAUGAUUUAAACCACAGAUGCAAAACAGCCCAACAAAGCUCACAAAAUGCAGAAGAAACAUAUUUCACAUAACAAGAGUAUCAAGCCCUAGGAGGACUAUGAGGUUUCCUACCAGCCCAAGACCGAAUUCAGUCACUUGAUACAUCAUCAUCACCAUAAUACAGUCAUCAAAUCUAUAGACUAAACUAGCAAUUAAGGAUCAACAUCCAUACUAUAUCAUGCUCAGCACACGCACAAAAUGUUUCACCGAGCACUAAACACAACCAUCUAGCCAACCAAACAGCCCGCAAGGCUCACCCGAGCACCUCUUGCGGCAAAAUUCUCCCCUAUCAUCAACUAGCAACACAAAUCUUGGAAUCGCCGAACCGGAAAUAAAAUUACAGCAGGCACCCUCCUUUCACCACCACCACCACCCUGGAAGAAAACUCAGGCUCCGGGACAGACAUGGAGGCCUCUGGAGGCCUAAUCGACCAUCAAACUGGAUUAGCAAUGCGGUGCACAAUCACAGAGCAC